AGAGCGGGCCUUUCAGGCAUCCUCUCCUAAAACUUUCCAGGCCGGUCCUUUUUGGAUCGGCCUUUUUUUUGGUCAGG
Molecule: small RNA, 77 nt
Filed under: Sphingobium sp. TCM1
Lineage: Bacteria; Pseudomonadati; Pseudomonadota; Alphaproteobacteria; Sphingomonadales; Sphingobiaceae
Description: Makes More Granules Regulator RNA (mmgR)
Rfam family: Makes More Granules Regulator RNA (mmgR)
About the family: SuhB later renamed mmgR (makes more granules regulator) was a putative non-coding RNA found multiple times in the Agrobacterium tumefaciens genome and related alpha-proteobacteria.
Source: Rfam by way of RNAcentral